CCUGUGGAGUGUUAUAUCAAACUGUAGUAGUCUGUUGCUAAAGUAACGACAAGGCAGGACACGAUUGAAGCAGGAA
RNAcentral lists this non-coding RNA (76 nucleotides) under unclassified sequences. RNAcentral describes it as "RAGATH-18 RNA". It matches the Rfam family "RAGATH-18 RNA". From Rfam's summary of the family: Actinobacteria, Firmicutes, Fusobacteria, Thermotogae (1 example). The record is from Rfam by way of RNAcentral.